CCCUUUUAAGGACGAGAAGCUCCAAGGCAAUGGAUUCAGCAAAACCGACAGCUGCAAACUUGCUCGCACAAUAAUCUGUGAACAAAGCAGGAGUUGUUGCGUGGUGUUACUGAGCUGUCCACAGGGAUACAGACACUUGCCUGCCAAACCGUUCAUGGCAAGAAGCCCUCCAUGGCAGGCCACGGACACAAGGUGGCCAUGGUUACGGGACACCAUGGCUGGGAGAAAAGCUUUGUAGGUCUGAAAAGUAAAACAUCAAAAAAAAAACUAAGGGAAAAAAAUAAUUGGAAUUUACGUUAGAUAGUCUAUUGUUCAAUAUUGUAACACAAACAAGUUAGUUUAUGUCAGGUUUUUUGGCUCUGCUGAAAUUAAAGUUCUGAAAUUACGAAUGUGAAAUACUGAAAAUAAAAUAUUAUUUAAAAAAAAAUUAAAAAAACAAUGUUCUCGGGAAAUACUUGGAAAUGAGACAGACAAUGAGGAAGAAGUUUUAAGAAACAAGUAGUAACCACUCACCCAGAAAUGGGCAGCUACAUUUACCCUCAGCGUUCUGUCGAUCAGGUUGUCUGGGGCUUCUGUGAAAAAGUACUUGCCUGUUACCACACCUGCAUUGUUCACAAGAAUGGACACGUCCCCAACCUCCCUCUUCACCUUAUAACCAACAGAAAUGACUGUAAUUAGUUAUGAAUGUAAAGUAAAUGCAACCAAGGUGAGUCACAAGUAAGAAGAUCACAAGGUGAGGAAGGUAGUCACUGGCUGUGUGGGCAAAUGCAUUGGCAAUGCACGUUCCAGCAGUAAUUCUCUUUGAAUGGUAUGGGUGGCACAGCUGUAGCACUGAAAUAUUAUUCAGCGACUAAAAUGGGGAUGAGAAUUUAAAAAUAAAAAUAUAUGAAUCCACCAAUGGAUAGAAAGAUAUAUCUUGCAGUCAUUUUACCACUGGUACAGAAGCCUCCUAAAAAAAAGUAUACCAUGAAACAAUCCCUGAUAUCAAGUUUAGUAUACAUGAACUCCCUAAAUUGUGGAUUUUGAGAUGGCUGUUUCACUUUACAAUGCCAGUGCCGGUGAAAGGAUUUACCAGGUCUGCGACUUUGUAGACCUCCGUGCGUCUGCUGCAGUCGCAAGCGUAGGCGUAGACGCGCACGUCCAAAGUCCUCCUCAGCUCCUUGGCCGUCUUCUCCAGGGCCUCCCAGUUGACGUCCCAGAGGACCAAGGUGGCGCCGAGCUGACCCAUCUCCUCCGCUAUUCGCCUGCCGACGCCGUGGGCGGCCCCCGUUACCAGGACGAUCUCCCCUUCCACGUCCUUCCUGGGCGGCUGGACCAGCAGCCGGACGACGGCUUCGAAAAAAUAAAAGGCCGCCGCGAUAAUCAAGUCCACGAAGUCCUUCAGAAACCACAGAUUGUAGAGUAACCUCUCCAAGCACCGAAUUACUAUAUUGUGCAUCUUGCUUUACUGCUGCCUCUCUGCUGUGUGUCUUUGCUUUUGUCCCUCCCUUGGGUGGCAGUCUUGCCUAGGAAAUCUCAAUUUAGGAAACUGUUAUGUUAGGGCUGUUUUCUUCAUAUUUUUUGACCCAUUGACAUACUUUCUGCUAGCUCCCCUCCCAAAUAAAAAGUCUAAAGGCUACAUUCAGAUUUCCCCUGUCCUUCUGUCCUUAGUGCUGCUGCCAAUACUGUCAUCUGAGUGUGAUCUAUUUUUGGUAUCCUAUUUCAGCUGCGUCACACUGUUGUUUGCUUGACCUGCCACCCAGAGGACGUUCACUUGGAACCGUAUCAUGAUAUACCUUCCUCACAAUUAUCGGUACAGUUGACAGCCCAUUCAUGAGUGAUGAGGGUUUGAAUAUACACUUGGAGUUUCCAAUCCUAUGCUUCUCCGUUAAUUUAACACACUUGGGGACCACAUAAGGUCUUGUCCAAUGGGUUGUACUUUCCUGUGAACUUGUCAUGUUUUA
Anguilla rostrata (American eel) is the source of this 1943-nucleotide long non-coding RNA. RefSeq lists it as uncharacterized. The transcript has 2 exons. Lineage: Eukaryota; Metazoa; Chordata; Actinopteri; Anguilliformes; Anguillidae. The record is from RefSeq and is a predicted model, not a curated record.